AGUACAACUCUGUUCGGUGGAUCACUCCGAUCGUGUUUUCGAUGAAGAUCGCAACCAACUUCGUAGCUUGAUGCGACUGCAUACUGCUUUGAA
RNAcentral lists this ribosomal RNA (93 nucleotides) under Paragonimus westermani. RNAcentral describes it as "partial 5.8S ribosomal RNA". Lineage: Eukaryota; Metazoa; Platyhelminthes; Trematoda; Plagiorchiida; Troglotrematidae. The record is from RNAcentral.